UAUUGGGGCAGGGGUUUCUUUCGGCCUCCAGCAGAUUUUAAGGGGUUGUAGGCCGGCGGAAACUACUUGCCACCGUAU
This 78-nucleotide microRNA precursor is filed under the name Agrilus planipennis (emerald ash borer). RNAcentral describes it as "mir-2796 microRNA precursor family". It matches the Rfam family "mir-2796 microRNA precursor family". The record is from Rfam by way of RNAcentral. Lineage: Eukaryota; Metazoa; Arthropoda; Insecta; Coleoptera; Buprestidae.